GUAGGGUGCAAGCGUUAUCCGGAAUCAUUGGGCGUAAAGAGCUCGUAGGCGGUUCAGCAAGUCGGCUGUGAAAUCCCGAGGCUUAACCUCGGAACUGCAGUCGAUACUGCUGUGACUAGAGUCCCGGUAGAGGAGAAUGGAAUUCCCGGUGUAGCGGUGAAAUGCGCAGAUAUCGGGAGGAACACCAGUAGCGAAGGCGGUUCUCUGGGCCGGUACUGACGCUGAGGAGCGAAAGCGUGGGGUAGCAAACAGGAUUAGAUACCCUGGUAGUCCACGCCGUAAACGUUGGACACUAGGUGUGGCGUUCCGACCAACGGGUGCCGUGCCGAAGCUAACGCAUUAAGUGUCCCCGCCUGGGGAGUACGGCCGCAAGGCUA
RNAcentral lists this ribosomal RNA (377 nucleotides) under uncultured organism. Its description in RNAcentral is "partial 16S ribosomal RNA". It matches the Rfam family "Bacterial small subunit ribosomal RNA", at positions 527 to 896 of the family's 1533-position model. The record is from RNAcentral.